This 159-nucleotide unclassified non-coding RNA is filed under the name soil metagenome. RNAcentral's name for it is "partial internal transcribed spacer 1". The record is from RNAcentral.
CAGAGUUGCAAGACUCCCUAAACCAUUGUGAACCUACCUUCUACCGUUGCUUCGGCGGGCGGGCCCAGCGCCCCCCCGGCCCCCCGCGGGCGCCCGCCGGAGGAUACCCAAACUCUUGACAUUAGUGACCUCUCUGAGUAUUCUUUACUGAAUAAGUCA